Molecule: ribosomal RNA, 509 nt
Filed under: uncultured bacterium
Lineage: Bacteria
Description: partial 16S ribosomal RNA
Rfam family: Bacterial small subunit ribosomal RNA
Source: RNAcentral
GAUGAACGCUGGCGGCACGCUUAACACAUGCAAGUCGAGCGAGAACCGGUCCUUCGGGACUGGGGACAGCGGCGAACGGGUGAGUAACACGUGAGUAAUCCACCCUCGGUACCGGGAUAGCCCGGGGAAACCCGGAUUAAUACCGGAUGGCCCAUUUAUCCUUCGGGAUUUAAUGGAAAAGGUAGCUUAGGCCUCCGACCGAGGACGAGCUCGCGGCGGAUUAGCUUGUUGGCGGGGUAACGGCCCACCAAGGCGACGAUCCGUAGCUGGUCUGAGAGGACGAUCAGCCACACUGGGACUGAGACACGGCCCAGACUCCUAUGGGAGGCAGCAGUGGGGAAUCUUGCGCAAUGGGCGAAAGCCUGACGCAGCGAUGCCGCGUGAGGGAAGAAGGCCUUCGGGUUGUAAACCUCUUUCAGGAGGGACGAAGCCACUCGGGUGAAUAGCCCAGAGGGUGACGGUACCUCCAGAAGAAGCCCCGGCUAACUACGUGCCAGCCGCCGCGGUAA